Molecule: long non-coding RNA, 1968 nt
Filed under: Marmota monax (woodchuck)
Lineage: Eukaryota; Metazoa; Chordata; Mammalia; Rodentia; Sciuridae
Source: RNAcentral
AGUGAGAAGCAACUUUCCCACCCAACUUGGGAUGAGUUAAGAAAAAAAAGCAAAGGUUUAUGCAGUUCACGUUUCUGUUCCCAGUGAGAAAACUUAUCAAAUCUUGUAGGAAUGAAGUGCAGAUUCUUGCAAGAUUGCCUGUUCAAGAAAUACAAGAACAUCAUUGACAAGAAUGGGUAAAACGAUGUUUCCUGAGAAUAAUUAACAAGUACUGGAAAAAGCAGGUUCUUUUCCCUUCAUGGUGACAGCUAUACAGCAUAUAUAUUUGUGUCUGUGCCCAGCUCUUUUUUAAAAAAAAUUUUUAAAUAUAUAUAUGCUUUUAGUUGUAGAUGGACACAAUACCUUUAUUUUGUUCAUUUAUUUUUAGGUGGUGCUGAGGAUCGAACCCAGUGACUCACAGGUGCAAGGCCAGUGCUCUACUGCUCAGCCACAGACCCCGCCCCGUCCAGCUCUUUCUUGAAUGCUGUUCUGCUUGAGGCAAAGGGAGGUGUACAUUUCAUACUUGCUAUUGGCAACUAUUUUUAUUUCAGGAAAUUAGCACAGCACCUUCCUUUCUUUCCUUCUGCCUCCUUGGACACAGGGUCAAUGUUACAAUAGCUUCUGGCUUGGACUGUGGCUAGCUUCGGGCUGCCCACCUCAAGGGAAGUCUUGUACCACAGUCCUCAGUGUAGCCCACUCGGCAAACGAAUGUCCUUCUCUGGGCACCUGUGGCCAGAGGAUAGGAAGGCACUCUGAACUCUGGAGAGUGGAGUCCUGGCUGGGCUCUACCCCAAUGUAGACUCCAGCCUGGAGGCUGGUUCUGAGCCUCACCAUUGCUUCCCCUAAGUAACUGGGAUGUGUCUUCCUGACCAGGAGACUUGGUGGCUCCAUCCUAGGGUGGGUGACUGCUCUCAUCACAGGGCCACGCCUCCUGACAUAAAGGUGUCUGUGGACAGGAGCCCCAUAGACAGGCUGCCAGGUGGGCCAGCCCUGUGUGCCCUCAUGGAUAGGGUUGGGUGUGAUAUUUCAAAGUCACAGGUCUGCACCUCCAUGGAAGACCAUGCCUUGAUAUAUGUACUGAUGGGCCAAGUGCUGUGGCACAUACCUGUAAUCCCAGCAGGUUGGGAGGCUGAGGCAGGAGGAUCUCAAGUUCAAAGCCAGCCUUAGCAACUUAGUGAGGCCCUAAGCAACUUAGUGAGACUGUGCCAAAAUAAAAAAAUAAAAAAAAUGAAGAAGGUCUGGGGGUAUGGUUCAGUGGUUAAGCACUCCUGGGUUCAAUCCCUGACACCAAAAAAAAAAAAAUUAAGUACCACAGGACUUUCAAUGUGGGUCCAUCUGCCUCAUAGCCAGAAUGCAAGCUACCCUCCUGGUACCUGGGUGGCUUCACCGUGGAUAGAAUGUCCCACGUUUGAGCAGGAAUUAGGAGGAGAUAUGCUCCAGGAACACAUCUCUUGGCUCUGGAACAGCUGAGCCACCCAGGUGGCUUCCUUUUGUGUCCACCUACACGGGCUUCCUCCUGGACCCCCUUUCUGACCCCUCCUGGACCUGCCCAGCCAAAGCUUUCCUGCUCAGACUCCAGUUGUAGGAAGAGCCAGGAGCUGCCCGACUGGCCUUUGAAGAACCCAAGUCCCCCAGCCCCUCCCCAGAAGCCAGGAGCUGCAUUCACGCUUCAUGAUUCUCACUCAACACGUAUUAAUGUGGACCCACACAGGCGGGCUCCAGGGAUUUCCAGACUCUGAGAAACAUCUGUGGAUGAAGCUUAGAUGCCAGUGGGAGAAGACAGAAAUCAACAGCUACAUACACAGGUGAAUCCAGCAGCCGGUGCCACAGGAAAGGCUGGAGAGUCACACGGAAGCAGGACUCAGGGACAGAGAGCCCGGGAGAAGAGGAGAGCGUCAACAGGCCUUCAAGGUAGGCUUGGCUGGGGAGGUUUGUGAGUGGGUUAACGGAGGUGAGGGGAUCAGUGUGGGGCAGCUGGGGAAGGAGUAC